This is a non-coding RNA of Allomyces macrogynus ATCC 38327, 85 nucleotides long. NCBI's taxonomy places the organism in Eukaryota, Fungi, Blastocladiomycota, Blastocladiomycetes, Blastocladiales, Blastocladiaceae. The record is from the annotation of a GenBank genome assembly.
AGCUUUUGGUGCAGUGGUUAACUCAACAGGUUAUGAGCCCUGUGUGCGCGGAGGUCCUGGGAUCGAAUCCCAGUCGUGACGGUUG